CAAGUCGAACGGAAGUUAGAGCUUCGGUUUUAACUUUAGUGGCGAACGGGUGAGUAACGCGUGAGGAACCUGCCUUUCAGUGGGGGACAACAGUUGGAAACGGCUGCUAAUACCGCAUGACACUUUUGGGGGACAUCCCUUAAAAGUCAAAGCUUUACGUGCUGAAAGAUGGCCUCGCGUCUGAUUAGCUAGUUGGUGAGGUAACGGCUCACCAAGGCGACGAUCAGUAGCCGGUCUGAGAGGAUGAACGGCCACAUUGGGACUGAGAUACGGCCCAGACUCCUACGGGAGGCAGCAGUGGGGAAUAUUGGGCAAUGGGGGAAACCCUGACCCAGCAACGCCGCGUGAAGGAAGAAGGCCUUCGGGUUGUAAACUUCUUUUACCAGGGACGAAGGACGUGACGGUACCUGGAGAAAAAGCAACGGCUAACUACGUGCCAGCAGCCGCGGUAAUACGUAGGUUGCAAGCGUUGUCCGGAUUUACUGGGUGUAAAGGGCGUGUAGGCGGAGAUGCAAGUUGGGAGUGAAAUCCAUGGGCUCAACCCAUGAACUGCUCUCAAAACUGUAUCCCUUGAGUAUCGGAGAGGCAAGCGGGAUUCCUAGUGUAGCGGUGAAAUGCGUAGAUAUUAGGAGGAACACCAGUGGCGAAGGCGGCUUGCUGGACGACAACUGACGCUGAGGCGCGAAAGCGUGGGGAGCAAACAGGAUUAGAUACCCUGGUAGUCCACGCUGUAA
This 734-nucleotide ribosomal RNA is filed under the name uncultured bacterium. RNAcentral's name for it is "bacterial SSU rRNA". It matches the Rfam family "Bacterial small subunit ribosomal RNA", at positions 58 to 805 of the family's 1533-position model. The record is from RNAcentral.